Long non-coding RNA from Ictidomys tridecemlineatus (thirteen-lined ground squirrel), 462 nucleotides. RefSeq lists it as uncharacterized. Lineage: Eukaryota; Metazoa; Chordata; Mammalia; Rodentia; Sciuridae. The record is from RefSeq and is a predicted model, not a curated record.
AGGAGGAUGCAGCAACAAGGCACCACCUUGAAAAGAAAUAUCAGCUCUCAGCAGACAUGAAUCCUACCAGCCCCUUGAUCUUGGACUUCCCCUCCUCCAGAACUUGCUGGUGAUGGAACCCAGGGCCUUGAACUUCUCAGGCAAGCAAGUCUACCACUGAGACACACCACUGAGUCCUAUCAAUUCAAAAGAUUCCCAGCCUGCAGUAUCAUGCUGUUCACCAUAGAGACCUGAGGAGCCCCCUAUCUCAUUGGUAUCAUAUUUACAAAUGAACCCUUAAAGUGGAUUAUUUUGCAGAUGGCUGAUCUCAUCUAUUCAAUGCUGAUUCUAUUAGUUCCAAUUUCAGAAUGUGGCAUUUUCUGACUUUGUCCCCUUAAGCACAAAUAAAAAGUAUGGAUUUUUUGUUUUGUUUUGUUUUCAGAAGUAAAAAAAUACUAGGUAUGCUGGCAGAAGAGUAAGAAA